RNAcentral lists this ribosomal RNA (568 nucleotides) under Arthroleptis adelphus (Foulassi screeching frog). RNAcentral's name for it is "partial large subunit ribosomal RNA". It matches the Rfam family "Bacterial large subunit ribosomal RNA", at positions 1810 to 2606 of the family's 2925-position model. The record is from RNAcentral. Lineage: Eukaryota; Metazoa; Chordata; Amphibia; Anura; Arthroleptidae.
AAAACAUCACCUCUUGACUAACUAUAAGAGGCCCAGCCUGCCCAAUGAUCAUUUUAACGGCCGCGGUAUCCUAACCGUGCAAAGGUAGCACAAUCACUUGUUCUCUAAAUAAGGACUUGUAUGAACGGCAUCACGAAGACUAUACUGUCUCCUUUCUUCAAUCAGUGAAACUGAUCUUCCCGUGAAGAAGCGGGAAUUUACAUAUAAGACGAGAAGACCCCAUGAAGCUUCAAAUUAAAUAUCAACUGCUACCAUAACAACACCCAAAUCUAGCAAGUCUAAUAUUAGUUUUAGGUUGGGGUGACCACGGAGCAUAACAAAACCUCCACAGUGAAAGAAUUAAUUUUUCUAAUACAAGAAAUUAACGACUCUAAUAAUCAAUACAUUGACAUAACCUGAUCCAAUCUUUGAUCAAUGAACUAAGUUACUCUGGGGAUAACAGCGCAAUCCAUUUCAAGAGCCCCUAUCGACAAAUGGGUUUACGACCUCGAUGUUGGAUCAGGGUAUCCUAGUGGUGCAACCGCUACUAAGGGCUCGUUUGUUCAACGAUUAAAACCCUACGUGAUCU